Actinia tenebrosa (Australian red waratah sea anemone) is the source of this 868-nucleotide long non-coding RNA. Lineage: Eukaryota; Metazoa; Cnidaria; Anthozoa; Actiniaria; Actiniidae. The record is from RefSeq and is a predicted model, not a curated record.
AGCUAAAAUCACUUCGUAAAAUAUAUGAAUGUUGUCAUCAUACAAAUUCUUACUUAGGGGGUAGAGGUUAGGGCGAAUUUAAGCCCCUUCCCCACCCCUAAUACUCCCUCGUCUAUAAAUAAAAAUAACUAAUAAUAAGAAUUCGAAAGAGCAGUCAURUGUAUAUUCGAUAAGGAAAUUGUUUACCUUGAUCCAUGAAAUAUAUAUUCUGAUUUGUUUGCAAUAAGACCUCGUAAACUGGUUGUCCAGUAAAUUAUUCGUACUCAAGUAACCCUCAUUUUGGGUCAUUUAUAUCUUUUUUAUUUAUUCAAGAUUCUGUCAUUCAGAUCUCCGUGUCCCAAUAUCAUGCUUGAUCAGAUAUGCAAAUUACAGUGAAGGAAGUUGUUGGAACAAAAGUAUGGAGGCUUCACAAGUACUAAAGCCAAUUUUAUGUGGUUAAAUAAAAUAUUUAAGCAAAGUUAGACUUGAACUAAGUUGCCUGUUAUCGCGAGUAUCUGUCAACGAUGAAAUAUUUUUCCAUUUAAAAAAUCCCAAAUAUGAAAACUUUUAUAUAUUAAUUGUGUUGGUUGACAAGUUUGCUUCAUGAAUCCCUUYUAUACUACUGUAUACUCACGUAGCAUCGAUUGGAAAAUUUUAAUACGAUAUAUUACUCUAAUUUGUUUAAACACGUAUGGUUGAGGAGCUGUUGCUCGUUAAAAGAAUAUGAAAAUAUGUAUAUGUGAAAAAAUGCUAAUGGCACCCUUUAUUUAACUCACGGCACGAACACGGUCGUGACAUGAUGGCGAGCAUCUUUUUGUGCAGAAAAUGGCAGUAGUUCAAGGUUUGGCCACAUUAUUCUACAUCAUUUCUGUUACUACGUUUGUCUGGG